GGAUGCGAUCAUACCAGCACUAAAGCACCGGAUCCCAUCAGAACUCCGAAGUUAAGCGUGCUUGGCCGAGGGUAGUACUAGGAUGGGUGACCUCCUGGGAAGUCCUCGUGUUGCAUUCC
This 119-nucleotide ribosomal RNA is filed under the name Triticum aestivum (bread wheat). Lineage: Eukaryota; Viridiplantae; Streptophyta; Magnoliopsida; Poales; Poaceae. The record is from RNAcentral.